CAUCCUAACCAGAGUUCUAAUUGAUUACCGUCCCGCAAAUGCAUUUUCCACUAUCACGGUAAAUAGGUUAACUAAACAAUUUCCUAUUGGGAAAUUUGAACAUAACCAGGUAGCUCUACCUACUAGCUACACUAUUCAUCGUACAUUCAGUUUGAGAACUAGGUAUGCAUUUGUGGCCGGAAUCAUAAGGUUCAACAAAUAAUCAUCUUUAAAAGUUAGAUUAAACUUUCAUCAUAAACCAUUUUAUGUUUAGACCCUGUUUAGACCCUUGGAUCGAUCAUUACCAAGGCAGUUUUCAUUAAAUAAUGUGAUUGUGAUUCCACACAUGCAUGUGGCAACAAGCCUUCUGAUUUGAAGAAUGAAGUUUAACAAAUAUGGAGAUUUAGAAGUAGACAAUAAAAAAUAGAAAAUUUCCAGAAAGUUUUGAAGAAAAAUAAAAAAUAGAGAAGAAAAGGUGGGGAAUGAUUCCAAAACAUGUGAAGUUUCAUAAAUAAAGAAAUGUCAAUCCCAAACGGUGGUUU
RNAcentral lists this long non-coding RNA (521 nucleotides) under Brachypodium distachyon (stiff brome). Its description in RNAcentral is "long non-coding RNA (BDIS_LNC004775)". Lineage: Eukaryota; Viridiplantae; Streptophyta; Magnoliopsida; Poales; Poaceae. The record is from RNAcentral.